GGUCCGGCCGUGUGCGGGCCGUGCACAGGCUGUGCACAGACACCCAGUGGGCGCCCGGGCUGCGGGGGGAGCGGGCCCGGGCGAGCGGGGGGCGCUGACACGGCGUGAGGGGCGAGAUGGCGUCCGGGCGAAGCUGUGUCUUCGCACUCGUACCGGGGAUGCUGGUGGUGCUCGUACUGAUAGGGUAACUCCAGGGUCGGCGCAGAGGCUGCAUGGAAUGCAAAAGGAGCAAAAUGAGAUCCCAGCCGCAGGGAUGGGUCCAGAAGAGUGGAAUGAAUGAGGCCUGGAUUUCUGUCCAUUUGUGUCCUAAUAGCUCUCCAUUGCAAUCAGCUGUCUCUCGCCUCAUGUUUCUUAUGUCCUCACCCCUGCUGGAGACACUACAUGCUGUACUUAGAUCAGAGCCGCGUUCCUGAUCAGCCAGCACGUGUAAUGACUGACCAUGUUGCUGAUGUCCAGUAGAAGCCUCAGCUGAAUACCGUAGCAGUUCUUGUGGAAGAGCAUGUGACAUGCUCCAUGAGAGCUGCAGGUGCAGAGGAAAAUAAAGAGGAAAGGUAUCAUCAGGACAGCUGCCACUUUGGGCCAUGGCUGCCUUUAUUGUGAACAGCCCUGCUCUGGAGAAGAUCACCUGGGGAAAAGUGGACACCUUGUGGAAAGUCAGAGAAAAAGUUAAUGGUACCAAAAGAAUACAUCUUUUAAGGUCUAAAUAUGUUUCAUCUGAACAGUUAUAUUUUUCUGUAGGAAUAUGGGAAUGCGGUUAGUGUAACAGGAUUAUCUCAAAAGUUCUGGAUUACACAUUUUAGGAAACACCUCACCCAGAGAAGAAGGAGUUCUACCUUCACCUGUAACCCUUCCAUGGGUCAGGGGCUUUGAACUGGUACACAUACUGCUUUUGUUCUUCAGAGUAGAUCACUCUGGGUGAAGAGGAGAUGGUUUUGCUAAGUCUUCUGCCAGAUGCACUUGAUACUGUUGACUGUAGCAGGAUAAUUGGUAAAGUGGAUGUGGUGGCUUGAGUUUCUGCUCCAAACUGGAGCCUUGAACUGUUACUCCAGGUUAUUUUGUCUGAGGCUGAUCUUAGAAAGCAUUUCCAGUUGUUCCCUCUCAGCAUUUCCUUCAUCAGAUAUGAAAGGGUUUAUUUUCUUUUAGUGUCCAAAUCAUAUGAACUUGAUUGAGAAGUUUAGUCUAGGAAAUAGUAAGCCAAGACAUCAUCUAGAAAAGGGCUCUCUAGGGUGUUACCUGGCCACUCUUUCAAAAGUCUCAUGGUAUCUCUGGAAUGCUGCUUCUCCUUAGUGCUUUGGAUUACCCAAGGGAAGUUUGUUUUUUGUUUGCAACACCCUGACUAUUAUCGCUGAAGUGUGAGUUCAGAGAUACUAAUCAGUUGCUCUCAUAAAGACUGAAUUUCCAUAACAUACUCUAUGGGAGAUAUCUACACAGUAGGUGCAUGGGAGUUUUCUUAUUUGAUGAAAUGUAUAGCCACAGGCUAAGAUGUGAUAACUGCAGUUAAAUAUGAAAACGUAGCUUGUGUAUUAAAAUAGUCCUGAUAAAGAGCCAGUACUAUAAAAAAUGUUGCACUGCACAAUUAAAAUGCUUUGUCUUUGGGUCCGAGAAAUGCAAAAUAUUUUUGUGUCAUGACUAACAGGUGUCUAAUUAUGGGUAAAUCACCAGUGCAACAUUGCUGGAACAUUAAGAACAGUCUAAACAGGGAUGCUCUCCCUCUCUCCAUUUACUGUGUUACUGUUUCAAUCUUGUGGUAUAUUUGACAAAAUGCACAAUUUUGCUACACAACAUUAAGUAUGUUUUCUUGUAAUUCUUUUAAUAUUAUUUAUUACUCCAUCCACUUUGGUCUUUUCAUAUUCAGUUUUCAAUGUAGUGCUUAUCUAAUAGACACUGAAAUGAAAAACAAAAUCAUCAGAGCUAUGGUGGUACUUGAUUUCCAAGAUUUCUGUCUACCUAAAGUGACAUAAAAACUCACAUUAAUUUAAUGUUUCUUCUUUUCAUUUACUGAAAUGACACCAAUAUUCUAAAUUUACUGUGGUGGUUACAUUUAUAUGCAGGCAUUCAUGAACAUACAUUUCAGUUAGUUUCUAUAUGGGAAAAGACACCUAGAUAUAAAAAAAAAAGAAGAUUAAGAGUUAAAAAUAUGUGCAAAUACAAGUCCUGAUUCCCUAUUAUCUGGGACAUAAUACCUGGGUACAAAUAACCAGCAAUAAGUUUGCAGGUACUGGUUUCAAAAAAACACCUUUUAAAGAAAGUAUUUUAACAUACUCACAGGAGUAUACAGUCUGUGAAAUAAUAUCUUUGUCUGUUGUGAGACCAAUUGAAUUACAAAUUUAGUUUGAAAAUAAUAUGUUAUUAACAAGCAUAUUUGCACUGCACAAAACCAGAUUCACUAAAAUGUGUAAGAUCUCCAUUUACACCAGAUAAGAAGCAGCAUAAUUUCUUCUUGCACACUCACACAAGUACUGUUGAAGUGAGAAUUGUUGAGCAUUCUAUUUUGUGGAUACUCAUUAUGAGUACAUGUUUAAGUAAGGUUGAAUGUUUGGGCAUUUCCUCAUUCCCAGAAAGAAAUACAAGCUUCUUAUUCUCUGUUUCAACAGUACUGGAGAAAUGUUUUGAAAUUUUAAUAUUCAGAUCAAGAAAUAAAUCCAAGGUAAAUGUAAAUAACCAGAAGAUACUCUAGACAAGAAAAAGCUUUGUGAUCACCACAAGAGCCCUUGCUAGCUUUCAGCAACUGCUGAGAAGGGAGGGCAGUGCUUUCCCCUGGUUUGGGUGCUGGAGAAUCAGUUUUCCUUCUGCUUUUUGUUCCACAUAUGCUACAUGGAAUCCUGGAAACCAGUUCCUUAUUUGCAACUCCAUAUAUGCUGAAGUUUAAGAAAGAGAGAUAAGAGUGUUAUCAAAGAAGCAAUGGAGUAAGAUGCUGAAACGGAUAUUGCUUGGGUGUGUUGCCAUGCUGAAGUAAACAAGUGUAUCUGUAUUUAUUUUUAUUGGUAUUUUGGGCUUACAGCAUGUACAUCAAAUUAUGUACACGCUUAUCACCUCUCAUGUAUGGAAACAGUUUUUAAAUUCUAAGCAUUUCAUUUAAAAGAAGUCAAAUCAAAUCAAUGCCAAGAACCCUAGUUAAGAUGUAAUUUUUGCUGAAAAUUACCUUUUUCAAGGCCUCGGAGAAAAAAAUCAGAGAUUUAGUAAAAUUAAACAAAUAAAGACAUUUCUAUCACAUUUCCCUCAGUCAAACCUUCAUUACAUUUCCCCUCUUUAUGUGAAAUACAGUAAAUGGAUAUGGUAUUUGCCCUUUCCAUGAGAAAGGAAUGAGAAAGACUCAAAAAAGUGUUGGACUGCAUUUUGAGAAGCAGUCUGUAGUUUUAUGUGAGCACUUCUGGCUGCUUAAUAAAGGCUGCAAGACCUUGCAGGUCUGAGGGAUUUCAGUUAGAGUUAUGAACCCAUAGCACCUUGAGAAAUUAGGUGCUAGGUCUGACCUACCUGCUGAAUCGAACUCUGCUGUUGAAAACAGGGGAUAAAUUUCCAUCUGAAGGCACUCAAAGAGAACAGAGCAUUUUGACUCCUAAAAUUUUCUCUUUGAAGUAAAAAGGGUGUCUCUAUUUAACCAUUCCUGGAGAAAAGUUUUUAAUAUUGUACUUUUGAAUCAUCCAGAUAAUUCCAGUCCUUUACAGUCAGUUCAUGUUUCAAAUCUUGUGCCAAAUGCUUACAUGCCUUGGAGUAGAGAAGACCCAGAGGGAACUCAUAAAAUUAUAUAGGAAGGGCACCAAUUCACUCUUGCUGAGAAGUAAUUUGGUUUGGUUUAGUAACCUGUGAAAUAGUUCUGUAAAAUUAUGAACUUUAAGGAAACUGUAAAGAGUGUGAUUAUUGACAUCUGCUGUAGGUGACCUUUACAUGCUGAAAAGAUCACAAGGUAGUAAAAACAAAAAAAUUACAGCCUCCUUUCCUUCUUCUCUCUAAUGGUCUGAAAUUGAAAAAUUGGAUCUAUUGAACCCCAGUUAAAGUUAGGACAGCCAAAUAAAACAAGACUACAACCUGCAACUUGCAG
Corvus hawaiiensis (hawaiian crow) is the source of this 4039-nucleotide long non-coding RNA. RefSeq lists it as uncharacterized. The transcript is spliced from 3 exons. NCBI's taxonomy places the organism in Eukaryota, Metazoa, Chordata, Aves, Passeriformes, Corvidae. The record is from RefSeq and is a predicted model, not a curated record.